RNAcentral lists this ribosomal RNA (300 nucleotides) under Salmonella enterica subsp. enterica serovar Typhimurium var. 5-. Its description in RNAcentral is "bacterial LSU rRNA". It matches the Rfam family "Bacterial large subunit ribosomal RNA", at positions 409 to 709 of the family's 2925-position model. The record is from RNAcentral. Lineage: Bacteria; Pseudomonadati; Pseudomonadota; Gammaproteobacteria; Enterobacterales; Enterobacteriaceae.
UGAGUAGGGCGGGACACGUGGUAUCCUGUCUGAAUAUGGGGGGACCAUCCUCCAAGGCUAAAUACUCCUGACUGACCGAUAGUGAACCAGUACCGUGAGGGAAAGGCGAAAAGAACCCCGGCGAGGGGAGUGAAAAAGAACCUGAAACCGUGUACGUACAAGCAGUGGGAGCACAGGUUUACCUGUGUGACUGCGUACCUUUUGUAUAAUGGGUCAGCGACUUAUAUUCUGUAGCAAGGUUAACCGUAUAGGGGAGCCGUAGGGAAACCGAGUCUUAACCGGGCGUUAAGUUGCAGGGUA